RNAcentral lists this microRNA (24 nucleotides) under Lotus japonicus. Its description in RNAcentral is "lja-miR11152-5p". The record is from miRBase by way of RNAcentral. Lineage: Eukaryota; Viridiplantae; Streptophyta; Magnoliopsida; Fabales; Fabaceae.
GUUGAAAUUUAGUGUCUAUCUCUC